Tachysurus vachellii is the source of this 73-nucleotide non-coding RNA. The record is from the annotation of a RefSeq genome assembly. NCBI's taxonomy places the organism in Eukaryota, Metazoa, Chordata, Actinopteri, Siluriformes, Bagridae.
GUUUCUGUAGUGUAGUGGUUAUCAUGUUUGCCUCACACGUGAAAGGUCCCCAGUUCAAACCUGGGCAUAAACA